AGAGUUUGAUCAUGGCUCAGGACGAACGCUGGCGGCGUGCUUAACACAUGCAAGUCAAGGAGAACGUAUUCUUCGGAAUACUAUUAAACUGGCGAACGGGUGAGUAACGCGUAGGCAACCUGCCCUAGAGACGGGGAUAACUUCGGGAAACCGGGGCUAAUACCGGAUAAUGCAGCGGAUCCUUCGGGAUACAGUUGUUAAAGCGGGCUUCGGCUCGCACUUUAGGAUGGGCCUGCGUCCGAUUAGCUUGUUGGUAAGGUAAUGGCUUACCAAGGCGAUGAUCGGUAGCUGGUCUGAGAGGAUGAUCAGCCACACUGGGAUUGAGAUACGGCCCAGACUCCUACGGGAGGCAGCAGUGGGGAAUUUUGCGCAAUGGGGGAAACCCUGACGCAGCAACGCCGCGUGACCGAUGAAGCUUUUCGGAGUGUAAAGGUCUGUCGUAAGGGAAGAAAAGUUUGGAUGUAAAUAAUGUUCGAACCUGACGGUACCUUACAAGAAAGCACCGGCUAACUUCGUGCCAGCAGCCGCGGUGAUACGAGGGGUGCAAGCGUUGUCCGGAAUCACUGGGCGUAAAGGGUCCGUAGGCGUCCCAAUAAGUCAUUUGUAAAUACACCGGCUUAACCGGUGGCCUGCAUUUGAAACUAUUGGGAUAGAGUAUAGGAGAGGAAAGUGGAAUUCCUGG
This 682-nucleotide ribosomal RNA is filed under the name uncultured marine bacterium. RNAcentral describes it as "bacterial SSU rRNA". It matches the Rfam family "Bacterial small subunit ribosomal RNA", at positions 8 to 673 of the family's 1533-position model. The record is from RNAcentral.